GGUAUUGCUCCCACAGGUGCUUGAAAGA
RNAcentral lists this non-coding RNA (28 nucleotides) under Homo sapiens (human). The record is from RNAcentral. Lineage: Eukaryota; Metazoa; Chordata; Mammalia; Primates; Hominidae.